AAGAGAGGCUCCUCCUUCAUGACAGUCUCCAAUUUCUACAGGGAGCAGCUGAACAAGCUGAUGACCACCCUCCAUAGCACCGCACCCCAUUUUGUCCGCUGUAUUAUCCCCAAUGAGUUUAAGCAAUCGGGUGUGAUAGACGCCCACCUGAUCAUGCACCAGCUAGCUUGCAAUGGUGUCCUGGAAGGCAUCCGUAUCUGCAGGAAGGGCUUCCCAAACAGGCUGCAGUACCCAGAGUUCAAACAGAGGUACCAAGUGCUGAACCCCAAUGUGAUUCCCCAGGGGUUCGUGGACAACAAAAAGGCCUCAGAGCUGCUGCUUGCAGCCAUUGACCUAGAUGUGAAUGAAUACAAAAUCGGACACACCAAGGUGUUCUUCCGUGCGGGCAUCCUGGCCAGGCUUGAGGACAUGAGGGAUGACCGUCUGGCUAAGAUCAUGACGAUGCUGCAGUGUCGGCUUCGG
This 462-nucleotide small RNA is filed under the name Pongo abelii (Sumatran orangutan). Its description in RNAcentral is "processed transcript". Lineage: Eukaryota; Metazoa; Chordata; Mammalia; Primates; Hominidae. The record is from RNAcentral.